RNAcentral lists this ribosomal RNA (986 nucleotides) under Gymnobisium sp. MCZ 139238. RNAcentral describes it as "SSU rRNA". It matches the Rfam family "Eukaryotic small subunit ribosomal RNA", at positions 737 to 1744 of the family's 1831-position model. The record is from RNAcentral. Lineage: Eukaryota; Metazoa; Arthropoda; Arachnida; Pseudoscorpiones; Gymnobisiidae.
GGUUGUCCGACACUUUUACUUUGAAAAAAUUAGAGUGCUCAAAGCAGGCUGACGCCUGAAUACUGGUGCAUGGAAUAAUGGAAUAGGACCUCGGUUCUAUUUUGUUGGUUUUUGGAUCCCGAGGUAAUGAUUAAGAGGGACAGACGGGGGCAUUCGUAUUGCGGCGCUAGAGGUGAAAUUCUUAGACCGCUGCAAGACGAACUACUGCGAAAGCAUUUGCCAAGAAUGUUUUCAUUAAUCAAGAACGAAAGUUAGAGGUUCGAAGGCGAUCAGAUACCGCCCUAGUUCUAACCAUAAACGAUGCCAACCAGCAAUCCGCCUGAGUUCCUCAAACGACUCGGCGGGCAGCUUUCGGGAAACCAAAGUUUUUGGGUUCCGGGGGAAGUAUGGUUGCAAAGCUGAAACUUAAAGGAAUUGACGGAAGGGCACCACCAGGAGUGGAGCCUGCGGCUUAAUUUGACCCAACACGGGAAAACUUACCCGGCCCGGACACCGGAAGGAUUGACAGAUUAAUAGCUCUUUCUUGAUUCGGUGGGUGGUGGUGCAUGGCCGUUCUUAGUUGGUGGAGUGAUUUGUCUGGUUAAUUCCGAUAACGAACGAGACUCUAGCCUACUAAAUAGACCCACGAUCCUUGGUAUCGUGAGCGGGUCUUCUUAGAGGGACAGGCGGCGUUUAGCCGCACGAAACAGAGCAAUAACAGGUCUGUGAUGCCCUUAGAUGUCCGGGGCCGCACGCGCGCUACACUGAAGAAAUCAGCGUGUGUAACCCUUGUCCGAAAGGAUUGGGUAACCCGAUGAACCUUCUUCGUGAUAGGGAUAGGGGAUUGUAAUUAUUCCCCUCGAACGAGGAAUUCCCAGUAAGCGCGAGUCAUCAGCUCGCGUUGAUUACGUCCCUGCCCUUUGUACACACCGCCCGUCGCUACUACCGAUUGAAUGAUUUAGUGAGGUCUUCGGACUGGAGCAACGAGCGGCUUCGGCCGUUCUCUG